GGGUGCUGAGCAGGCCCGGAGGGGCUAGGGCUCGACUGGGAGAGAGCGACCUCACGGAGUCAGGCACGCACACAACUCCAGACACCCCCGGAGCCCCAGUUCUGGCAGGAAAGAGGCUUCCUGAGCCUUCACGUGGCCAGAAGCUGCCAGCCCUGAAUCCAUCAGUGAAGGAACAAGUGUGAAAAGCCAAUGGCCUGGAGCAGAGCCAACCAGCCCAGGCUUACCAGUCAACCUCAUGUUCUAGGUUGGCAAAUGACCUGCAGAAUGAGGAGUGCCCUCGUGGGAGGGGCUUCGGCUGUAAGAGGGCAGGUGGCUGGAAGGAAUGAGCGACCUAGAGGAAACGCGCACCCAGACCCCAAAUUCUCAUAGGAAGAAACACACGUGGUGACAUAAUGGGAUGUCGGAGCCGGAGCCCUGCAGACUGCAACGCAACACCACCACCGUGACUGGCAAGAAUUACGGGAAGGCAGGGGCGCCUGGGUGGCUAGGUCGG
Long non-coding RNA from Hyaena hyaena (striped hyena), 493 nucleotides. RefSeq lists it as uncharacterized. The transcript has 3 exons. NCBI's taxonomy places the organism in Eukaryota, Metazoa, Chordata, Mammalia, Carnivora, Hyaenidae. The record is from RefSeq and is a predicted model, not a curated record.